This 295-nucleotide long non-coding RNA is filed under the name Mytilus galloprovincialis (Mediterranean mussel). Lineage: Eukaryota; Metazoa; Mollusca; Bivalvia; Mytilida; Mytilidae. The record is from RNAcentral.
UUAGGGAGGUACCAUUUGAUUUUUAUGGGGGGGGGGGCUAGGAUGAAAUUUGAAAAAAAUAGGCAGGACAGGAGUUUUGAGUAAAAAAAAAAGGCAGGAUGAGACACUUGCAAAAAAAAAAAGUCAGGACGACAAUUUAGGUAAAAAAAAGUCAGGAUAAACUAAAAAAAAAAAAGGCAGGACCGAACAGAGUGAAAAAAAAAAGGCAGGACAGAGAUUACAGCUAAAAAAAAAUGCAGGACAAAAUUUUUCAUCCUAGCCCCCCCCCCCCAUAAAAAUCAAAUGGUAGCUCCCU